This 235-nucleotide ribosomal RNA is filed under the name uncultured bacterium. RNAcentral's name for it is "partial 16S ribosomal RNA". It matches the Rfam family "Bacterial small subunit ribosomal RNA", at positions 524 to 763 of the family's 1533-position model. The record is from RNAcentral.
UACGAAGGGGCUAGCGUUGCUCGGAAUUACUGGGCGUAAAGCGCACGUAGGCGGCUUUCUAAGUCGGGGUGAAAUCCUGGAGCUCAACUCCAGAACUGCCUUCGAUACUGGAGCUUGAGUCGGGAGAGGUGAGUGGAACUGCGAGUGUAGAGGUGAAGUUCGUAGAUAUUGCAAGAACACCAGUGGCGAAGGCGGACUCACUGGCCCGGUACUGACGCUGAGGUGCGAAAGCGUG